RNAcentral lists this ribosomal RNA (497 nucleotides) under uncultured bacterium. Its description in RNAcentral is "partial 16S ribosomal RNA". It matches the Rfam family "Bacterial small subunit ribosomal RNA", at positions 28 to 507 of the family's 1533-position model. The record is from RNAcentral.
GAUGAACGCUGGCGGCGUGCCUAAUACAUGCAAGUCGAGCGAACAGACGAGGAGCUUGCUCCUCUGACGUUAGCGGCGGACGGGUGAGUAACACGUGGAUAACCUACCUAUAAGACUGGGAUAACUUCGGGAAACCGGAGCUAAUACCGGAUAAUAUAUUGAACCGCAUGGUUCAAUAGUGAAAGACGGUUUUGCUGUCACUUAUAGAUGGAUCCGCGCCGCAUUAGCUAGUUGGUAAGGUAACGGCUUACCAAGGCAACGAUGCGUAGCCGACCUGAGAGGGUGAGCGGCCACGAGGGAACUGAGACACGGUCCAGACGCCAACGGGAGGCAGCAGUAGGGAAUGUGCGGCAAUGGGCGAAAGACAGAAGGAGAAACGCAGCGUGAGUGAAGAAGGUAUUCGGAUAGUAAAACUCUGUUAAUAGGGAAGAACAAAUGUGUAAGUAACUAUGCACGUCUAGACGGUACCUAAUCAGAAAGCCACGGCUAACUACGUG